Puntigrus tetrazona (Sumatra barb) is the source of this 345-nucleotide long non-coding RNA. RefSeq lists it as uncharacterized. The transcript is spliced from 3 exons. NCBI's taxonomy places the organism in Eukaryota, Metazoa, Chordata, Actinopteri, Cypriniformes, Cyprinidae. The record is from RefSeq and is a predicted model, not a curated record.
CAGCAGGGCGAUCUCACCUGGACACACAGACAUCACAUCUUUUACACGGAAGCAGUCUUCGGCAGCACGGAGGCAUCCGGAGCGACGGCCAGCGAUACACUGCAUGGCUCAGAAAUACACAGGACAAUCUCCAACCGUCGUGGGUCACAUGUUUAAUUAACUGCAGUGUUUAUUACACAAUAUUACCAUUUCUGAUGCUCACUGGAAAAAAAUAAAGAACUCAGUGAAAGCCGUGACUGACCGAAGUAGUCUGAGGGUCCUAGCCGGCCGACCUCGACGAACUCCUCGUUCUCUGACCUGCGCUGCAGAACCGCCGCACAGCCCUGAGGAGACAGACGAGCUCAG